AUCAAGAAAAGAACAAAUUAUGGUGCAAACAAAUACACAAUGGCAACUAAAGUUACCUCUGAAGUUACCACUGGCAAACCUCAUUUUGAAACCACUGGCAAACCUCAUUUUGAAACUGCAACCGGCAAAAACUGUACUGCAGAAUACUCCAGCAGCCAUAGCUGAAGCUCUCUUUGUGAAGAAUAUAAUUUACUAAUACCUGACGGAAAGAUCCACAAGGAACCUAGCUACAAGAAUGGACAAGAAUCUACUUUGUAUAGGUAUUGUACAUAGCUAAUCACGGACUACUUUGUCUGGAAACUUUGUAUAGCUGCAUUUUUUUUUCUGAGUAGACCCCCUUUACUAGGACAUGUGAUUCUUUGGUAACACACUACAUAUAUAAAGAAGAAGAUUCUGGCCAUCCAUGGGAAAAACGAC
RNAcentral lists this long non-coding RNA (417 nucleotides) under Setaria italica (foxtail millet). Its description in RNAcentral is "long non-coding RNA (SITA_LNC007151)". The record is from RNAcentral. Lineage: Eukaryota; Viridiplantae; Streptophyta; Magnoliopsida; Poales; Poaceae.